UACGUAGGGGGCGAGCGUUGUCCGGAUUUAUUGGGCGUAAAGAGCGUGUAGGCGGCCAGGUAGGUCUGCUGUGAAAACUCGAGGCUCAACCUCGAGACGUCGGCGGAAACCAUCUGGCUAGAGUCCGGAAGAGGAGAGUGGAAUUCCUGGUGUAGCGGUGAAAUGCGCAGAUAUCUGGAGGAAUACCGGUGGCGAAGGCGGCAUCCUGGACCGACAUUGACGCUGAGGAGCGAAAGCCAGGGGAGCAAAUGGG
This 253-nucleotide ribosomal RNA is filed under the name uncultured bacterium. RNAcentral describes it as "partial 16S ribosomal RNA". It matches the Rfam family "Bacterial small subunit ribosomal RNA", at positions 524 to 776 of the family's 1533-position model. The record is from RNAcentral.